RNAcentral lists this transfer-messenger RNA (129 nucleotides) under Verrucomicrobiales bacterium. Its description in RNAcentral is "partial transfer-messenger RNA". It matches the Rfam family "transfer-messenger RNA", at positions 1 to 129 of the family's 374-position model. Rfam says of the family: Bacterial tmRNA, also known as 10Sa RNA or SsrA, is named for its dual tRNA and mRNA-like properties. Its role is to liberate the mRNA from a stalled ribosome. The record is from RNAcentral. Lineage: Bacteria; Pseudomonadati; Verrucomicrobiota; Verrucomicrobiia; Verrucomicrobiales.
GGGGGCGUACUGGUUUUCGACCAGCUGAAUACGUUUCUGAUUGCAUGUCGAGGAUGGCUCGUUUCCCUCGUAAAAUCCAUCGAACCAAAAACAUAACUGCCAACGAAGAAUUGGCCCUCGGGGCAUAAA